AAUGGAACUGAAUGGAGUUGAUUACGGUUUGCCGUGCCUGGCUCCCUGUAUGCCAUCUGCAAGACCUCAUUAACAGAGUUUUGGUGGGGCUUGCUGGAUGGCGUACGAGGAGCCAUGCAUGCUUUUUUAAUUCUCAACCCACCAUCAACUCCAUCAGUUCCAUU
Molecule: microRNA precursor, 164 nt
Filed under: Linum usitatissimum (flax)
Lineage: Eukaryota; Viridiplantae; Streptophyta; Magnoliopsida; Malpighiales; Linaceae
Description: miR160a stem-loop (lus-MIR160a)
Gene: lus-MIR160a
Rfam family: mir-160 microRNA precursor family (bases 32-122)
About the family: The hairpin precursors (represented here) are predicted based on base pairing and cross-species conservation -- their extents are not known. In this case the mature sequence is excised from the 5' arm of the hairpin.
Source: miRBase by way of RNAcentral